Gossypium arboreum is the source of this 667-nucleotide long non-coding RNA. RefSeq lists it as uncharacterized. NCBI's taxonomy places the organism in Eukaryota, Viridiplantae, Streptophyta, Magnoliopsida, Malvales, Malvaceae. The transcript has 2 exons. The record is from RefSeq and is a predicted model, not a curated record.
ACUUACCCAACUCUAGUUUAGGGUUUUAACUUUUACAAUAUCUAGGGUUUUCAAAAGGAAAUACCUCUAUAUAAACCCUUCAAGGUCGCCUCUUUUCUUCAUCCUCUCAUCUUAGAACUGCCAGCCCCCCCAAAGUUCCAGUGAGCCAAUGAUGAUAUAAUCCACUUUGGAUGAGGUGCAGUGGAGCCAAGAACGAACCUACUUGGCAGAAGCUGCAAUUCAAUGGUUUUAAUGGAUUCAACUGAGGCUACGUCUUUUUAAUUAAAUGCUUUUAACUUGGUGUUUCUUGGGUUUGGGUUUGAUUGAGUUUAACUAUACCCUAAACUUUUUGCUAUUAAUUUCGGUUUAGGGUCUGAAAAACUCAUAUAGUCAUGUGUUGUCAUCAGCUUCUUCUCUUGCACUUUUCACGAGAUUGGAGUUAAAUAACAGCACUACAUUUUUCUUUUGUUUAUUUUGCAGGUGUGGCAUGAAUUCUUAGGUUCCUGAGAAGUUGGUUGACUGUUUCCACUUUAAAAUUGUGUAUUUUGUAGGCCAUUGUAUUAUUGUGUGUUUCUUAUUGUAAUGAAGUGCAAAGAUUAUCUGUUACUUCUUAGCCGGAGCUCUCUCUACUGUGUUCUCUAUCAUGUUUUUCUCAGCGCAAUAAAAAUAAAAAUAACUGAACUAAAAA